GACGAACGCUGGCGGCGUGCUUAACACAUGCAAGUGGUGCGACGAACCAGGCUUCGGCCUGGGGCGAAGCCGCGAACGGGUGAGUAACACGUGGGCAAUCUGCCCCUUUGAUCGGGACAACCCGGGGAAACCCGGGCUAAUACCGAAUGAGGUGGCGACUCAUGAGAGUCGUCACGAAAGGAAGCUUCGGCCUCCGCGCAGGGAUGAGCCCGCGGCCAAUUAGCUUGUUGGUGGGGUAAUGGCCUACCAAGGCAACGAUGGGUAGCUGGUCUGAGAGGACGAUCAGCCACACUGGGACUGAGACACGGCCCAGACUCCUACGGGAGGAUGCAGUGGGGAAUCUUGCGCAAUGAGCGACAGCUUGACGCAGCAACGCCGCGUGAGGGAAGAAGGCUUUCGGGUCGUAAACCUCUUUCAGUUAGGACGAAGCUUUAUUGGUUAAUAACCAAUUGGAGUGACGGUACUUUCAGAAGAAGCCCCGGCUAACUACGUGCCAGCCGCCGCGGUAA
This 509-nucleotide ribosomal RNA is filed under the name uncultured bacterium. Its description in RNAcentral is "partial 16S ribosomal RNA". It matches the Rfam family "Bacterial small subunit ribosomal RNA", at positions 28 to 523 of the family's 1533-position model. The record is from RNAcentral.